UUAGCUGGUCUGAGAGGAUGGCCAGCCACACUGGAACUGAGACACGGUCCAGACUCCUACGGGAGGCAGCAGUGGGGAAUAUUGGACAAUGGGGGAAACCCUGAUCCAGCAAUGCCGCGUGUGUGAAGAAGGCCUGAGGGUUGUAAAGCACUUUCAGUGGGGAGGAGGGUUGACAGGUUAAGAGCUAGUUAACUGGACGUUACCCACAGAAGAAGCACCGGCUAACUCCGUGCCAGCAGCCGCGGUAAUACGGAGGGUGCGAGCGUUAAUCGGAAUUACUGGGCGUAAAGGGUGCGUAGGUGGUUUAUUAAGUUAUCUGUGAAAUCCCUGGGCUUAACCUGGGCAGGUCAGAUAAGACUGGUAGACUCGAGUAUGG
Molecule: ribosomal RNA, 376 nt
Filed under: uncultured Legionella sp.
Lineage: Bacteria; Pseudomonadati; Pseudomonadota; Gammaproteobacteria; Legionellales; Legionellaceae
Description: bacterial SSU rRNA
Rfam family: Bacterial small subunit ribosomal RNA
Source: RNAcentral